Molecule: ribosomal RNA, 460 nt
Filed under: uncultured bacterium
Lineage: Bacteria
Description: partial 16S ribosomal RNA
Rfam family: Bacterial small subunit ribosomal RNA
Source: RNAcentral
CCUACGGGCGGCAGCAGUGAGGAAUAUUGGUCAAUGGACGAGAGUCUGAACCAGCCAAGUAGCGUGAAGGAUGACUGCCCUAUGGGUUGUAAACUUCUUUUAUAUGGGAAUAAAACGUUCCACGUGUGGGGUUUUGUAUGUACCAUAUGAAUAAGCAUCGGCUAAAUCCGUGCCAGCAGCCGCGGUAAUACGGAGGAUCCGAGCGUUAUCCGGAUUUAUUGGGUUUAAAGGGAGCGUAGGUGGAUUGUUAAGUCAGUUGUGAAAGUUUGCGGCUCAACCGUAAAAUUGCAGUUGAAACUGGCAGUCUUGAGUACAGUAGGGGUGGGCGGAAUUCGUGGUGUAGCGGUGAAAUGCUUAGAUAUCACGAAGAACUCCGAUUGCGAAGGCAGUUCACUGGACUGCAACUGACGCUGAGGCUCGAAAGUGCGGGUAUCAAACAGGAUUAGAUACCCGUGUAGUC